Neofelis nebulosa (Clouded leopard) is the source of this 771-nucleotide long non-coding RNA. RefSeq lists it as uncharacterized. NCBI's taxonomy places the organism in Eukaryota, Metazoa, Chordata, Mammalia, Carnivora, Felidae. The transcript is spliced from 3 exons. The record is from RefSeq and is a predicted model, not a curated record.
CCUAGGAUGAUUUAAGGCAAAGGAAUACAGGCUUACUGGGUGAGACAUAGAUAAGCAGGUGUUUGGAGCUAUAGACUCAGGAUUGGUUGGUUUGCAUAUGAAAGAAGUGAUCCCAGCUGAGCCCUUUGCUAUCCUUAAGAAUGGAUUAGCCCUGGGAGGAGCCUCUCUAGUGGCCAGCAGCUUUUCCAAGGCGUUAAAAACAUCAUAAAAUAUAGAAAAUAAAAGACCUGAUUAAUACACCAUGCAUAAAGGAGUUUAUAUCUACAGGAGAAGUAAGUCUGUACAUUAAAAGGUAAAUCAUAAGACAAGGUAAUUGUGAGAAAUGAGAUGAUUCAUUUCCCGAAAUACCAAAUAAAAGCUUUGCUGUCUAGUUAAUAGGUUUACAACCUAUUGGAAGUGUGUGCGAACCCGUCCUUCCACAGUGGAGCCCCAAACCCUUAGAUACUUCACUUCCUGGAUCUUCUUCCCUCUCCAUUUUGCAGGCUUAUUUUUUGUGGGCUUUGCAAUAAGCCUCUGCCAAAGAACUGAAGUAUCCGCAUCACCUCAAGGAAUGUACAUUUGUUCCAAUCAGACUGCUUUUUGCCUUAAAAGGGUGUAGGCGAUGUCCGGAACUGAAAUGGAAGAAUGCAAUCACAGAUCUGAACACAUGCACCAUAGAAAGAGUGUGUUUCAUCCAAAUCUCUAGGAUGAAGCAUCAUGACCUAGGUAAGAAAACUGGAUCCAACACAAGGAGACCUCAGACCCUAGAGUGGCUCUCCACUAGCUGAGAGA